RNAcentral lists this ribosomal RNA (531 nucleotides) under Aulacaspis tubercularis (white mango scale). Its description in RNAcentral is "eukaryotic LSU rRNA". Lineage: Eukaryota; Metazoa; Arthropoda; Insecta; Hemiptera; Diaspididae. The record is from RNAcentral.
AUCUGGGCGGCGGAAUUCAGGACGGUCGGGCGGGCCUCGCGCUCGUCGGGCCGUUUGAUAUUUCCGUCGCCGUGUCAGACGUCGCGACCUGUUCGUCGCCGGUCCUUGCUCGGAGGAAGCGCGAUGGAGUUCGUUGCGGGCGCGUUUCGGCGCGUUCCGCGGCGAAGACGCGACUCUCUGGCUGGCGACGGACAGUAAGCAACGGUGUCCGGCGUCGUGUCUCGCACUCGACGUCGGUGCCGGUCGGCGACGAUUUCUUCGGGCCUCUUUCCGACCCGUCUUGAAACACGGACCAAGGAGUCUAACAUGCGCGCGAGUCGCGGGGUUUCGAGCGUGCCACGGUGCGCUCGUUACUUCCGAAACCCGUACGUUGAAGGCGUAAUGAAAGUGAAUAGGGAAGAUGGCGUUCCGAGUCCACGUACCGUGAUCGAGUAUCGCGGCCGGACGUCCGCACUCCCGGGGCGUCUCAAUGGCUCGCCACGGAUGCGGACGGUCGUCUCUCGGGGCGGCCGUCGGUCUGUGGCGGUCCGA